CAGGGCCGUCCGGGACUUUUUUGAGGCCCCGUGCUAACUUUAAGAAUGAGGCCCUUUCAAAUGACAAAACAAAAUUUUAAUAUAUUUAAAAUAACAAGAUAUCAUAAACAAAAUUGUACUACUACAAGUCUACAACUGAAAAUUUAUUUGUUUUCUUGGGUAGUUAGACUUAAAUAUGUGUGUGGCCGUGUGGGAUUUACUGCUUGUACAGUGUACUAAUUAGCGUUUAAAUAAAAUUAUGAUAAAAAUUAAAGAGAGAUCAAUUUAUCACGAGUAUACUAAAAGAUAGAAAGAAGUAGUCAUAAAUUGGGGGCCCUAAAUUUCUAUGGGCCCUGUGCUGUUGCACUUGGUGCACUUGCUCAAAACCGGCCCUGG
This 375-nucleotide long non-coding RNA is filed under the name Daucus carota (carrot). RNAcentral's name for it is "long non-coding RNA (DCAR_LNC001179)". The record is from RNAcentral. Lineage: Eukaryota; Viridiplantae; Streptophyta; Magnoliopsida; Apiales; Apiaceae.